UGCCCUAGUAACGGCGAGUGAAGCGGCAACAGCUCAAAUUUGAAAUCUGGCCUUCGGGUCCGAGUUGUAAUUUGUAGAGGAUGCUUUUGGUGCGGUGCCUUCCGAGUUCCCUGGAACGGGACGCCAUAGAGGGUGAGAGCCCCGUCUGGUUGGAUACCAAUCCUCUGUAAAGCUCCUUCGACGAGUCGAGUAGUUUGGGAAUGCUGCUCUAAAUGGGAGGUAUAUGUCUUCUAAAGCUAAAUACCGGCCAGAGACCGAUAGCGCACAAGUAGAGUGAUCGAAAGAUGAAAAGCACUUUGAAAAGAGGGUUAAACAGUACGUGAAAUUGUUGAAAGGGAAGCGCUUGUGACCAGACUUGGGCAUGGUUAAUCAUCCAGCGUUCUCGCUGGUGCACUUGGCCUGCCCAGGCCAGCAUCAGUUCGGUGCGGGGGAUAAAGGCUUCGGGAAUGUGGCUCCUCCGGGAGUGUUAUAGCCCGUUGUGCAAUACCCUGCGCUGGACUGAGGUUCGCGCAUCUGCAUGGAUGCUGGCGUAAUGGUCAUCAGCGACCCGUCUUGAAACACGGACCAAGGAGUCGUCCUCGUAUGCGAGUGUUCGGGUGUUAAACCCCCUACGCGUAAUGAAAGUGAACGCAGGUGAGAGCUUCGGCGCAUCAUCGACCGAUCCUGAUGUUCUCGGAUGGAUUUGAGUAAGAGCAUACGGGGCCGGACCCGAAAGAAGGUGAACUAUGCCUGUAUAGGGUGAAGCCAGAGGGAAACUCUGGUGGAGGCUCGCAGCGGGUUCUGACGUGCAAAUCGAUCGUCAAA
Molecule: ribosomal RNA, 804 nt
Filed under: Xenoacremonium recifei
Lineage: Eukaryota; Fungi; Ascomycota; Sordariomycetes; Hypocreales; Nectriaceae
Description: LSU rRNA
Rfam family: Eukaryotic large subunit ribosomal RNA
Source: RNAcentral